GUUAUCAGCACUGCCAAACUUGUUGCGGAUGAGGGAGGCGAUUUCUCUCGGCUUAGACACGACAGCUCCAGCUGCAGAGUGAGUGGCUUGAGAGAAACUGGAGAGACCACCUGUCACCUGUAAUGAGCGAGAUCAGAGAUUCUCCUGUCAUACUGCUGAUAUCCAGCCCCUACUUCAAUGGCCCUAUAGUUCUGAGUUUUGGAACAGCAGUUCCCAUCAUGCUUUGGGGGAUGCAAGUUAUGACUCGGUGAAGGAGUGUGAAGGGAGAGCCAAGCAAUUUUUUUCUCCUCUUCCAUGCACCCCCCACACACUGGCACUCCAAGCAAUUACCUAUGUAACGUACAUCACAAACCUCCCAAAUCUGCCAGUGCAUCACUUGCAUCAAGACUGGAGAUUCUUACUACUCUCUAAAAAGACUUUACUGUUGCAUGCCCAUGGUUUACUUCUCACGUGGACCACUUGACAGGAC
This is a long non-coding RNA of Siniperca chuatsi (mandarin fish), 469 nucleotides long. RefSeq lists it as uncharacterized. The transcript has 3 exons. NCBI's taxonomy places the organism in Eukaryota, Metazoa, Chordata, Actinopteri, Centrarchiformes, Sinipercidae. The record is from RefSeq and is a predicted model, not a curated record.